This is a transfer RNA of 74 nucleotides. It matches the Rfam family "tRNA". From Rfam's summary of the family: Transfer RNA (tRNA) molecules are approximately 80 nucleotides in length. Their secondary structure includes four short double-helical elements and three loops (D, anti-codon, and T loops). The record is from Rfam.
CGGGGUAUAGCGCAGUCUGGUAGCGCGCCUGCUUUGGGAGCAGGAUGUCGGGGGUUCAAAUCCCUCUACCCCGA